AGACAAGGGCCGUCGCUGUUGGAGUUGGGGACGACCUAGCAGUACAUCCGGCCGCAAGGAGCUAAGUUCCACAGUUUGGACAGGACGUGGCUGGGGCGUGGCGCGGCGUGGCGCGGCUCUGGGCCUUCCAUUGGGCGGGAAACCCAUUACAAAAGGCAAAGAUACGACCUAAAAGCUUUUGGCGAAAAGACGUCAACUGUCGACAAGCAUCCUCCGUUAUGAAGGGAUGCAGGGCCGAGCUCCUGUCGCAGCCGCCGGGGCCGGCCGGCCGGGCAAGGCUGACGGCCUCGUUACCGCCGGGUCGUCCAGCCGCGGCACUGGAGAGGGGCCAUCGGUCAUGGGCCAGCGGGCCGCGGCGGGCGAGACACCGCCCCGGGCCCCCUCCAGCCCCUCCAGCCCCUCCAGCCCCUCUAGCACCCUGUCGCAGGCACGGACAGAACCUACCCGCCCGAAACCUGGGGCGGAGCAGGCUUCUCGCUCCAGCGAUCGUAGGACGGACGGCCGGGAGGGUGGGGGAAGGGGGUUGACGGGGGUUUGCGAUGCGUAGCGGACGCUCCAAAGAGGUUCACUCACGCGCUUUGACUCGACUGAAGCAAAAGUAGACCUGGUGGGCCGCCGCCGGGUCACCCGCACCACGCCGCAACGGCCGCCAUACCGGUCACCCUGCCUGCGAGCGUUACGCGUCGAGUGGGUCGGAUGAGAGGUCACGCGUGAGGAAGGCCACGAGGCCGCGUAUGAGCGGAUAAUUUGAAGGAGAGAUAUACAAAUAAAAUAACAAUAGAUAUGGGCCAAAGUCGCAAACCGUAUCAGCCACACACGGGGAGCGCAAAAGCCAUUAUGUUACACUAUUUAGCCGGCGUCAAGGUGUCGCCACCGCGAUGCGAAACUUGUUUUUAAUUUUUGUUCGGCGAGCAGUCACGAUGUGGUGGGCGUCUGCGGGCAGCAGCAGAGCAGAGCAGCGGCCGCCGUGUGCGCGCGACCUUGUUUACUUCGUCCAGGACCUCAUCGUCCCGGACGCCGCCCUCCGCGCGCCCUUGCGCGGCCGCCCGGCCGCCCGGCCUAGACACAGACGAGCCUUUCACUGCCGUAUGGAAAUGCUUUGGCGGGUUGGCUGCCGAUCAGCCCCGGGCUCAACCUCAACCACACACGUGGCGAAGGAAGAGCUAGCCCGUGCCCUCCCCUUCUCCGCGGCCCUCUCACUUAAAAAGUGAAGUAGGCGGUCGGUCGUAUGAGGUCACAAGGAGGAGAGCGAUAUAUAGAGGCCCUACAGACUGCUCUGUAAGGGCAAAGACGAUGUGUGCGGGGGAGUGUGUGGAGUGGACGGCGAGAGAGAGAGAGAGGUAGAGAGAGAGAGAGACGCAGCAGAGGCGCGCGAUCUAAACCGGGGCGGCCAGGCGUGCGUGCGGCGUGGUGGGCGGCUCCGCCCGGCCCGGCGGAAGAAAGAGUCGCAUCCCCUCGUGGGAAGCGUGUCGUCCGGCCGCUACCCUCUCCAUCCCGGAGGAGUUCCUCUCAUUGCAGCAGACGGGCAGCGGUCAGGGGGUGGGUGGAGGACGAGGACGAUGGGAAGGCUGCUGGUGUCGACGUCGACCCUUUCGAGCCGCUUGGUCGCCGUCCUGGGAGAGCGCCGAGUCGGGCCGAGUCCCCAGAGGGGGGCCAGAGCCCCCCUACAGACCCCCAUGAGUUAUGUGCGGCUGCGGGCGACGUCGUUAAAUAUUUUGUCGUGAACGGCAAGACACGCGAUAAAAAUAGCCGCGAUAUAAAGUAUCUCGGCCGGCCCCCCUCUCAGCCCCCCUCCUCCCCGUCCAGCAGCUUGGGGCAAAGCCAUCGCCACGGCUUAGACAAGCCGGCCAGGGGACCCCAGGGGGGCCCACGCCGGCCACGGGCUAGCGGCCA
This is a long non-coding RNA of Frankliniella occidentalis (western flower thrips), 1893 nucleotides long. RefSeq lists it as uncharacterized. NCBI's taxonomy places the organism in Eukaryota, Metazoa, Arthropoda, Insecta, Thysanoptera, Thripidae. The record is from RefSeq and is a predicted model, not a curated record. The transcript is spliced from 3 exons.